GAUGAACGCUGGCGGCGUGCCUAAUACAUGCAAGUCGAGCGAACGGACGAGAAGCUUGCUUCUCUGAUGUUAGCGGCGGACGGGUGAGUAAAACGUGGAUAACCUACCUAUAAGACUGGGAUAACUUCGGGAAACCGGAGCUAAUACCGGAUAAUAUUUUGAACCGCAUGGUUCAAAAGUGAAAGACGGUCUUGCUGUCACUUAUAGAUGGAUCCGCGCUGCAUUAGCUAGUUGGUAAGGUAACGGCUUACCAAGGCAACGAUGCAUAGCCGACCUGAGAGGGUGAUCGGCCACACUGGAACUGAGACACGGUCCAGACUCCUACGGGAGGCAGCAGUAGGGAAUCUUCCGCAAAGGGCGAAAGCCUGACGGAGCAACGCCGCGUGAGUGAUGAAGGUCUUCGGAUCGUAAAACUCUGUUAUUAGGGAAGAACAUAUGUGUAAGUAACUGUGCACAUCUUGACGGUACCUAAUCAGAAAGCCACGGCUAACUACGUG
Molecule: ribosomal RNA, 497 nt
Filed under: uncultured bacterium
Lineage: Bacteria
Description: partial 16S ribosomal RNA
Rfam family: Bacterial small subunit ribosomal RNA
Source: RNAcentral